GACGUAGGGGGCGAGCGUUGUCCGGAUUUAUUGGGCGUAAAGCGUGCGUAGGCGGCUGCGCAAGUCGGUUGUGAGACCCCGGGGCUCAACCCCGGAACUGCAUCCGAUACUGCGUGGCUAGAGGUAGGUAGGGGAGAUCGGAAUUCCUGGUGUAGCGGUGAAAUGCGCAGAUAUCAGGAGGAACACCGGUGGCGAAGGCGGAUCUCUGGGCCUUACCUGACGCUCAGGCACGAAAGCUAGGGGAGCGAACAGG
This 253-nucleotide ribosomal RNA is filed under the name uncultured bacterium. Its description in RNAcentral is "partial 16S ribosomal RNA". It matches the Rfam family "Bacterial small subunit ribosomal RNA", at positions 524 to 776 of the family's 1533-position model. The record is from RNAcentral.